RNAcentral lists this ribosomal RNA (116 nucleotides) under Pteropus alecto (black flying fox). The record is from RNAcentral. Lineage: Eukaryota; Metazoa; Chordata; Mammalia; Chiroptera; Pteropodidae.
GUCUAAGGCCAUGCCAUCCUGAACAAGCCCGAUGUCUGAUCUCGGAAGCUAAGCCUGGUUAGGCCUGGUUAGUACUUGGAUGGGAGACCACCUAGGAAGACCAGGUGCUGUAGGCA